RNAcentral lists this ribosomal RNA (468 nucleotides) under uncultured bacterium. RNAcentral describes it as "partial 16S ribosomal RNA". It matches the Rfam family "Bacterial small subunit ribosomal RNA", at positions 28 to 507 of the family's 1533-position model. The record is from RNAcentral.
GACGAACGCUGGCGGCGUGCCUAACACAUGCAAGUCGAACGGAAAGGCCCUGCUUUUGUGGGGUGCUCGAGUGGGGAACGGGUGAGUGACACGUGUGUAACCUGCCCUUGUCUUUGGGAUAACUUCAGGAAACAGGGUCUAAUAUAGCAUAGGAGAUUCUGCUCCAUGGUGGGGGUUGGAAAGAGUCGGCUGUUGGGUCUGGACUCGCGGCUUAUGAGCUUGUUGGUGGGGUAGUGGCUUACCAAGGCUUUGACGGAUAGCCGGCCUGAGAGGUUGACCGGGGCCAUUGGUACUGCGAUACGGCCCAGUAUGCAACGUGCGGCAGCAGUGGGGAACAUUGCACAGUAGGCGGACGCCUGAUGCAGCAACCUCGCGUGCGGAAUGAUGGCCUUCGGGUUGUGAACCUCUUUCGCCUGUGCCGAGGCGUGAGUGACGGUAAUGGGUAAGGAAGCACCGGCUAACUACGUG